This is a long non-coding RNA of Ctenopharyngodon idella (grass carp), 4145 nucleotides long. RefSeq lists it as uncharacterized. The transcript is spliced from 3 exons. Lineage: Eukaryota; Metazoa; Chordata; Actinopteri; Cypriniformes; Xenocyprididae. The record is from RefSeq and is a predicted model, not a curated record.
AACAGAGAUGGCGACAAAGAGGCAAAACUUACAGACUGUAGCUUUAAAUGGUAAACAUUUCACAAUAUUACUGAUUUUGACUCUAAUUUUUAAUUAAUAAGUUUAUUUAACAGGGAUAAUGCAGAAUAACAUGCUACAAUUUCAAACAGCGACGCUCCACAUACAGGCUUUGAGCCAAAGGCUAAUUUGCAGCCCCAUGGUUAGCAACAUGUCAUGACAUUUUCCUUCUCUGCCUUCUCCUUUUUAUCAUGAUAAAAUCUACAUAUAGUUCCCAACAAAAGUAGUGUUUAGUGUAAACACUGCACAAGAUGCUUUUCUUACUUAGUAUUUUUGUCUUGUUUCCAGUCCAAAUAUCUAAAAUAAAUUAAAAAAAAAAAAAAAAAAAAAAAAAAAAAAAAAAAAAAAACUUAAAUCCAUAUGCUUUUACUAGAUAAGUGUCAGGACACAGAUGGAGGCAGAGGGGUGAAUGAACACAGAUGUUUAUUUAAACAGAGGCAGGAACACAGGUAAUGGAGAAUGCAGGUGAGUAGAUGAAGGGAGCAUUGGAGAAGAAACCCGCUGCAAUCCUCUGCUGCGCCGGUGAAUGUCGCUGGUUGGGCCAUGGGACUGACAGAGGCAGCUGAAGAAGAAGCGGCGGGUGCUGGGUGUAGGAGUGCGAGGCGAACAGGGUGCAGGAGAUCAGCGGGGACCGUAGGUGCAGUGCUUGUGGCAGGCUGUGAGAGUGAGGAUCGCACUGCGUCGACCAGGGUGGCGAACGGGUCCGCAGUGCAAUCCCCGCCUGUGUCCGAGAUGCUGUGCAUGAGGUCUGGUCUUCUGUCAGGACACAGACGGAGGCAGAGGGGUGAGUGAACACAGAUGUUUAUUUAAACAGAGGCACGAACACAGGUAAUGGAGAAUGCAGGAGAGUAGAUGAACAAGCACUUUCAAACAGUCACUUAGCUGAAUAUAAUUAGAGUUCUGUCUUGCAGGUUGGGAGGACAACGUGGAGCUGACGACUGGAGAUGGAAGACGAGAGGAGGGAGGCACAAGAAGACGCUGGUAAGUAGCUGGUGAGUAGUCCAUGAGUCUGACGAGACCAGACACUGAGUGCAGGGAGUGAGAGUCUUUUAAAGUGUCACUGGUGAUGAGGUGCAGGUGAUCAGAACUCAGGGGAUUGUGAACGAGUGGGUGGAGCGUGAAGAUCUGGUGACGAUGUGUUGUAAUUGGAGGGUGCAGGCUGUGACUCCGUGAUAGUACCCCCCCUCCAUGGGCGGCGACGACGGGGUCUACCUCGACCCCGGGGAGCAGGGCGGUCCGGGUGUUCGGCGUGGAAUUGAGUAAGGAGUGAGGGGUCGAGGAUGUCAUGACGGCUGACCCAGGAACGUUCCUCUGGGCCAUAGUCCUCCCAGUCAACGGAAUUGGUAACGGAACCAGCUUACCCUCGGGAAGCCUCCUAGGAGUAGUGUUGCCGCAGGAGCAAGAGGGUACGUGAACUGCCUGGGUGUCCAGAGCCUGGAGAGGUGUGAGCCAAGUCCACGAGGGGCUGACGGUGGACCGGUGGAAUGUAAAGAAGCCCCUCAGGAUGUCCCGGCGGAGCUGGGUUGGAGCGGUUAGCUUGGGAAAUGCGUUGAUUGAUGGACCACAGGAUUGGGCUGACGAUCAUGGCUGAAGGGAGGAUAGGCUUAGGGUCAGGAUUGUCUGGAUCAGGUUGAUAUAGCCGAGAUAAGGCAUCGGCUUUGCAGUUCUUAGUUCUAGGGUGGUAGGAGACCGUGAAGUUGAAUCUAGUGAAGAAGAGGGCCCAGCGGGCUUGGUGAGGAUUCAACUGUUUGGUGUCACGCAGAUAUUCCAGGUUACGAUGAUCGGUGAUCACCUCAAACUGAUGUUGUUUCGCUCCCUCCAGCCAGUGUCUCCACUUUUCCAAGGCUAACUUGAUGGCAAGGAGCUCUCAGUUCCUGAUGUCAUAAUUUUGCUCCGCCGGGGAUAGCUUCUUGGAGAAGAAGGCACAUGGAUGGAGUCGUGGUGGGUCACCCUGCCACUGUGAUAGCACCGCCCCGACCCCGGUGAAGGAUGCGUCGACCUCGACGACGAAUGGAAGAUCAGGGUUCGGAUGGUGAACAGCUGAGACUGGGCUUCCAGGUAGAGGGAGCAUUGGAGAAGAAACCCGCUGCAAUCCUCUGCCGCGCCGGUGAAUGUCGCUGGUUGGGCCAUGGGACUGACAGAGGCAGCUGAAGAAGAAGCGGCGGGUGCUGGGUGUAGGAGUGCGAGGCAAACGGCGUGCAGGAGAUCAGCGGGGACCGUAGGUGCAGUGCUUGUGGCAGGCUGUGAGAGUGAGGAUCGCACUGCGUCGACCAGUGUGGAGAACGGGUCCGCAGUGCAAUCCCCGCCUGUGUCCGAGAUGCUGUGCAUGAGGUCUGGUCUUCUGUCAGGACACAGACGGAGGCAGAGGAGUGAGUGAACACAGAUGUUUAUUUAAACAGAGGCACGAACACAGGUAAUGGAGAAUGCAGGAGAGUAGAUGAACAAGCACUUUCAAACAGUCACUUAGCUGAAUAUAAUUAGAGUUCUGUCUUGCAGGUUGGGAGGACAACGUUGAGCUGACGACUGGAGAUGGAAGACGAGAGGAGGGAGGCACAAGAAGACGCUGGUAAGUAGCGGGUGAGUAGUCCAUGAGUCUGACGAGACCAGACACUGAGUGCAGGGAGUGAGAGUCUUUUAAAGUGUCACUGGUGAUGAGGUGCAGGUGAUCAGAAUUCAGGGGAUUGUGAACGAGUGGGUGGAGCGUGAAGAUCUGGUGACGAUGUGUUGUAAUUGGAGGGUGCAGGCUGUGACUCCGUGACAAUAAGUAAAAUGACAUGACAUUUUUCUUGUUUUCUAGGAAAAACAAGUUAAGUUUUUGCUUAAAACAAGCAAAAUUAUCUGCCGAUGGGGUAAGAAAAAUAAUCUUCUUUCUGUUUGAAAUCUUGUUUCUGUCCCAAAGAGAAACAAGAUUAUUUUCCUUACCCCACUGGCAGAUAAUUUAACUUGUUUUAAGAAAAAGCUCACUUAAUUUUGAAUAUUAGCAAAAAGGUUGUCGAUUCAUUAAUUGAUAAGCUAUUUCCUCACAAAAGCUGUUAUAUCUAUGAUAUCCAUUAAAAAACGGCCUCUUGUCUCCUUCCCUGCAUGCUGACAAAACUGGAGUGUUAGCAUUAGCCGCUACGCUUUUUUUGGCUAAAGAUUGCAGGCUUGCCUUCCAGUGGCUUUGGUUAAAACCCCAGACCCUCUUCAUCUCCCCAAUAAUAAGUCAAUGACUGUUUCCCAGUAUUCUUGUCUGUUCUUGUGAAACGUCAUCAGUAGCUGCUCAAGAACUGUUCACAUCUAGCCAAGUACAGUUCAAAUCCCCGGAUGGAGUUUUGCUCCGCCCCUCUUAUAGAGGAUGCAUCGAGAGGUGACUUGUGCGGACAGCCAGGUAUCCCAGAAUGCAUCUCGCACCUACCAGCAGGAAGCGAAAAUCUGAUUAAUUUUAAAAAUAAUACUGUUAUUGUCAUGAAAUGUAGUUUUUAAAGGUUUCAGGUGAAAAUGUAUUGUUUAAAGCUCAAAUCUGUGGUUUAUUUAUAAAGAUAUCGCCUAUCUGAAAACUUGAUCUGACGUUUUCUGAGUUGUGAUGCUAGACAGGUAAUGAACAUAAUCUAGCUAACAUUUAUCAUUUAUUUACGGCUGAAAUGUUGCACGGAUAUGUACCAAGCAAAGUAUUUAAAUAACAAGUAAUGUCCGAAAGAUAUCAGCUCUGCUGUUGUUCAUAAAUACAAUGAGGACGUUGUCACGUCACCAGAAAUAGAGUCAUCAGUGUCAGUGAGUCAGGGUCCUUUACUGUCCUUACCAGUGCCUGAAUUUAUGAACACGAUAUACUGAUUCACGAGCUCGGGAGCUGAUUGAGACGAACCCUUUUUCUUGACUCACUGAACCUGGGUCAAAUGAGUGGGAUUGCGUGAACUUAAAAAAUGGGAUAGACCUGGGAUAAAUUUCACAUGUCAUAGCAAAGGGUCUGACUCUGAUAUUUAUAUUUGUGUCAAUGUGAUAUUUCAAUUUCUUUCUUUCUUUUUUUUUUUUUUUUUAAAUUGCAAUGUUAUCACAAAUCUGGGUUUAUCUUUGUCACUUGUUAUGAGGUUUGGAGUCCAGAUCAAUUUAAA